AAACAGCUUGCUGUUUCGCUGACGAGUGGCGGACGGGUGAGUAAUGUCUGGGAAACUGCCUGAUGAGGGGGAUAACUACUGGAAACGGUAGCUAAUACCGCAUAACGUCGCAAGACCAAAGAGGGGGACCCUCGGGCCUCUUGCCAUCGGAUGUGCCCAGAUGGGAUUAGCUUGUUGGUGGGGUAACGGCUCACCAAGGCGACGAUCCCUAGCUGGUCUGAGAGGAUGACCAGCCACACUGGAACUGAGACACGGUCCAGACUCCUACGGGAGGCAGCAGUGGGGAAUAUUGCACAAUGGGCGCAAGCCUGGUGCAGCCAUGCCGCGUGUAUGAAGAAGGCCUUCGGGUUGUAAAGUACUUUCAGCGGGGAGGAAGGGAGUAAAGUUAAUACCUUUGCUCAUCGACGUUACCCGCAGAAGAAGCACCGGCUAACUCCGUG
RNAcentral lists this ribosomal RNA (440 nucleotides) under uncultured bacterium. Its description in RNAcentral is "bacterial SSU rRNA". It matches the Rfam family "Bacterial small subunit ribosomal RNA", at positions 73 to 507 of the family's 1533-position model. The record is from RNAcentral.